CUUAAACUUGACUGAUAUGGGCAAUCUUGUGCUUUUUGAUCAUAAUAAUGCUACAGUUUGGCAAUCUUUUGAUCACCCAACUGAUUCUUUGGUUCCAGGGCAAAAGUUGAUGGCAGGGAAGAAACUUAUUCCUAGUAUUUCUGCUACAAAUUGGACUCAAAACUUGCUUUCAUACUCGGUCACUGAUGAAGGAGCAGUGGCUUCGACAGAGUCUAGUCCACCUCAAGUCUAUGAUGAAUUCACAAUUUCUGGCAGAAAAACUAAUAGAGAACCAACUUAUGUCACCCUUCAGAAUGGAAGCUUUGCUUUGUUCGCCAAUUCUUCUCCGCCAAGUGCGCCAGAUCGCUCCCAAUCCAUUCCCGACGCCUCAUCAGUACAGUAUGUGAGAUUUUGUCCCGACGGGCAUUUGAGACUUUACGAGUGGACAAAAGAUGGGUGGAAACAAGUUGCAGAUCUGCUUUCAGGUCGAGUGAAUGAAUGUUUCUACCCUACAGUUUGCGGGAACUAUGGAAUUUGCUCCAAUGGGCAGUGCAGUUGCCCUUCAACAACUUAUUUUAAGCAAAUAAAUGAUAGGCAGCCUGAUCUUGGGUGUUCUGAAGCUACUUCCUUGUCUUGUCAAGCUUCUCUAUAUCACAGUUUUAUAGAGCUCAUGGAAACAACAUAUUCCUCCUUUCUCAGUGAUCUUGAAAAUGUGGGUUUGGAGAAAUGCAAGGAGGCUUGUUCAAAGAAUUGCUCCUGCAAAGCUGCUAUUUUUCGAUUUGGUUCUGAUUCUGCCAAUGGUGAUUGCUACUUGCCAAAUCAGAUAUUUUCAUUGAUAAACAAUGAUAAUGAAAUAACUCAUUAUAACUCUACUGUAUACUUAAAGGUGCAAAAUGCCCCAUCCCCAACUACAGAAGCAAUAGUUCCUCAGCAGAAAAGGAAAAGGCGGUCGACAAUUAUAUUAUGGUCCAGUGUUGGGAUAUUUUCUGGUUUGUUUCUUGUGAUUGGAAUCUUAGUAUUAUUAGUUUGGAAGAAAAGAAAUGCUGAUGCAGACGAGGAAGAUUACUUGGAUCAAGUACCAGGAAUGCCCACUCGAUUUUCCUAUGAAAAUUUAAAAGCUUUGACGGAGAACUUCUCCAAGGUUCUUGGUGAGGGAGGAUUUGGUUCUGUUUUUGAAGGGACUCUUAUUGAUGGCACCAAAAUUGCAGUGAAGCGUCU
This 1197-nucleotide unclassified non-coding RNA is filed under the name Hevea brasiliensis (rubber tree). The record is from RNAcentral. Lineage: Eukaryota; Viridiplantae; Streptophyta; Magnoliopsida; Malpighiales; Euphorbiaceae.